UCUUAUGAGCUGGCUUUUCGCGAAGCACUGUGCUCGGGCCCCGCUCCAAUCCACUCAACCCCUGUGCACUUUCGGAGUUGCGGGUCCUUUGUAGUGAAGGCCCGUGGCUUCGUCUCUUAUCACAAACCAUAUGUAUUAUUGUUUUGUAGAACGUGGAUGCCUGCAAAGGCGGAAACUCAAUACAACUUUCAACAACGGAUCUCUUGGCUCUCGCAUCGAUGAAGAACGCAGCGAAAUGCGAUAAGUAAUGUGAAUUGCAGAAUUCAGUGAAUCAUCGAAUCUUUGAACGCACCUUGCGCUCCUGGACUUGUUUCAGGAGCAUGCCUGUUUGAGUGUCAUGAAAUCAUCAACCACGAUGCCUUUGUGUGUCCCGUGGCUUGGACUUGGGGAUCUGCUGGCGAAAGUCGGCUUCCCUUGAAUGCAUUAGUCGGGCGCUCUCGCUCCGAGAAGUGUGAUAAACUAUCAUUCACUGAUCGGCGAGGGGCUAUGUCCGGGCUUCCAACCGCAUGGAUGCAUGCACUUUGACAUAUCUGACCUCAAAUCAGGUAGGACUACCCGCUGAACUUAAGCAUAUCAAUAAGCGGAGGAAAAGAAACUAACAAGGAUUCCCCUAGUAACUGCGAGUGAAGCGGGAAAAGCUCAAA
This 644-nucleotide ribosomal RNA is filed under the name uncultured Hyphodontia. RNAcentral's name for it is "eukaryotic LSU rRNA". The stretch from base 184 to 338 matches the Rfam family "5.8S ribosomal RNA". The record is from RNAcentral. Lineage: Eukaryota; Fungi; Basidiomycota; Agaricomycetes; Corticiales; Corticiaceae.